This 273-nucleotide ribosomal RNA is filed under the name uncultured bacterium. Its description in RNAcentral is "partial 16S ribosomal RNA". It matches the Rfam family "Bacterial small subunit ribosomal RNA", at positions 85 to 354 of the family's 1533-position model. The record is from RNAcentral.
CCGCCGGCGACCGGCGCACGGGUGAGUAACACGUAUGCAACCUGGCCGUGACAGAUGGAUAACCGGGANAAAUCCCGCCUAAUACAACAUAAUGCCGGGAGGGGACAUCCCCUGCCGGCCAAAGGGGGCGACCCCGGUCACGGAUGGGCAUGCGGCGCAUUAGGUAGUUGGUGGGGCAACGGCCCACCAAGCCGACGAUGCGUAGGGGUUCUGAGAGGAAGGUCCCCCACAUUGGAACUGAGACACGGUCCAAACUCCUACGGGAGGCAGCAG